GAUGAACGCUGGCGGCGUGCUUAACACAUGCAAGUCGAACGGAAAGGCCGAAGCUUGCUUCGGUACUCGAGUGGCGAACGGGUGAGUAACACGUGGGUGAUCUGCCCUGUACUUCGGGAUAAGCUUGGGAAACUGGGUCUAAUACCGGAUAUGACGAUCUCUUGGAUGGGGUUGUGGAAAGCUUUUGCGGUAUGGGAUGAGCUCGCGGCCUAUCAGCUUGUUGGUGGGGUAAUGGCCUACCAAGGCGUCGACGGGUAGCCGGCCUGAGAGGGUGUACGGCCACAUUGGGACUGAGAUACGGCCCAGACUCCUACGGGAGGCAGCAGUGGGGAAUAUUGCACAAUGGGCGCAAGCCUGAUGCAGCGACGCCGCGUGGGGGAUGACGGCCUUCGGGUUGUAAACUCCUUUCGCAAUCGACGAAGCCUUUUGGUGACGGUAGGUUGAGAAGAAGCACCGGCUAACCACGUG
Molecule: ribosomal RNA, 468 nt
Filed under: uncultured bacterium
Lineage: Bacteria
Description: partial 16S ribosomal RNA
Rfam family: Bacterial small subunit ribosomal RNA
Source: RNAcentral